GUUUGGUUGAAGUUCACAAAUCCAUUGGAGAAUUAAACAAUCUUCUCAUUUUGAAUCUUAAGGGGUGUACAAACGUUCGGAGACUCCCAAGAAGCAUUUGGAAUUUGAAAUCUCUACAAAGUCUUAUUCUUUCUAGUUGUUCAAAAACCAAUGAACUGCCAGAGGAACUGGGACAUAUGGAAAGCUUAACAGAGCUUCUUGGUGAUGGUACUACCAUAAGGAAACUUCCCAUUUCUAUUGGGCUUUUGCAUAAUCUCAAAAGCUUGUCUUUCGGUGGAUGCAAAGGAUUACCAUCAAAAUCUUGGAAUCCAUUUAGUUGUUCAUUGGGAUCACCAAGAAGUGAUAAUGCCAUUACAUCUUUCCAGGCUUCUAUCUCUGGUUUACGCUUCUUAAGAUGCCUGAGUCUUAGGGACUGCAACCUACCCGGUAUGUUUCCCAAUGAUCUUGAGAGAUUAUCCUCAUUACAAGUGUUGGAUCUAGCCUUCAACAACUUUUGUGCGUUACCUGCUAGCAUCAGCCGCCUUCCCCAGCUUCAAUCCCUUUGGUUGCAUAAUUGUACGAAGCUCGGAUCACUUCCAGAGCUUCCAUCAAGUUUAAAUUACUUGGAUGCAGAUGGUUGCACGUCCAUGGAAAAGCUAUCCAAUCUUGCGAGUUCAUCCUCAUUGCAGUAGUUGGAUUUAGCUCAAAUUAAUAUUUGUAGUUUACCUGCAGACAUCAAUGGCCUUUCUCAACUGGAAGUUCUUACAUUGACAGAUUGCAUAAGGCUUCAGUCACUGCCAAUGCUUCCAUCAAACAUAAUCGCUUUGGAUGCAGCAGGUUGCACGGCAAUGGAAAGACUGUCAAGUUUGGCAAACUUAAAGAAGUUACAUUCCUUGUGUCUGAAUAAAAACAGGAAACUAAUUGAGGUUGAAGGCCUGGAGAGGUUGGAAAGUACAACUAUUCACAUGGAAAGGUGCAAUGGUUUGGCAAAUACUUUUAGGAAUAGCCUUUUUCAGGGGAUGAGUAAACCUGGUAUCAUUGACAUAUUUGUUCCUGGGGGAGACAUUCCUGAUUGGUUCAACUACCAAAAUGCAGGGUCCAGCAUAUAUUUUGAGGUGCCUCCACUGCCAAACCACAAGAUUCAAGGCUUGAUUAUAUGUGCUGUCAAUGGAGCAAACGAAGAAUUUGAACCAACCGACGAAGGACUUGAUGAAACAACAAAUGGUCCUAAAGCCACUUUCAUUAACAGGAUCAAGGUCUAGAAUGGAAAUACAACCCCAUAUUCAAUGGCGCUUCAGUAACAAAUCAGGAUCACAUAUGGGUGAGCAAUAUAGCAGAGGCAAUGUUUGUGGAUCUUUUGAAAGGAGGGGAUCAAGUGGAUGUCUCAAUAAUAAUGGGUGAACUUAUCCAGGUGAAGAAAUGUGUGAUCCAUCUGUUUCAGGGUACCUCUUCUCCAUAUGAUCUUGGAGGUGAGGAAGAUCACACAAAAAAUGAUAGGGGCGGGAGUGCAGUUACUGUUGAUUCGACGAGGAUCAAGGGCUUGAUUGGUUGAUCGGGGCUUGCCCCAAAAUGAAUUCCAAAGUGGUAAAUCCAAGUACCUUUGGCACUGGUUUUUUUCAGACCUUUCCUAGAGGACAUCUGAGGUGUUGGUAGACUAUAGAAUGAUUUGGCAUUAAUCUGAUAGGAAUUGAAUCCUCAUAGUAACAAAUACUCUGUUUUUUUUUGUAUUGUGAUUACAUUUGUAACAGAAUGCACUUCUCUUUGAAACCAAAACUGUAGGUUUUAUUGAUUUGUGUUAAUGGAUAGACUAUGUAAGAUGGUGAGUUGUUUGAGCUAGUGUAAUGUAUAGAGGAUUUUCCAGUAAAAUUUUCCAAUUUACAAAAGAAAAAAAAAAAGUGCGAUUUACAUCGACAGGUGUUAGUUUUAGAAAUGGAAAAGACAAUUUUAAUUACCCCUUCUUCUUCUUCUUCUUCUUCUUCUUCUUCUUCUUCUUGCCGUUGGCGUCCUGGAUGUAAGUCCAACAAGACACAUGGAUGUGACUGAUCCCUACAUGGAGCUCUGUUGUUAUACUUCAAUCUUACUUCACUUGCUUGGCUAUCUCUGGAUCUCUUCUACCUGGGAAGAUCGUUCCUGGCGUUACCCUAUCAGAUGGCACUCGACUUCAUUGCCGCUGCAAUGGUCAGUUACUCUCUUCUCUGUGUGUGUUCCGCUCUCGCUACUUAUGAUCGAUAAUAAGAUUCGAAUUAUAGUUUAUCUUUUCCUAAAUGAGUGGGAUACUACUUUGAGCUUCCAGCGUCAUGUUUCCGGCAUUUUGCAGGCCUUGUGUGUCUUCUUUUACUGGUUUCCCUCUUAGGGAUCGGCGCUGCCUUGAAGAUGAUAUCGCCAACGGUUAUUCUCUCUCUCUCUCUCUCUCUCUCUCUCUCUCUCUCUCCUCUGCCCUUCUUUGUGUUGCUUGUAUCACCCUAUUCAUUUUGUUGUUGAACUUUGACAAUUCUUCCUGUCGGGAGGAAAUUGUUGGUGUUUCAAUGUGCAAUUACCAUUUG
Molecule: long non-coding RNA, 2522 nt
Organism: Macadamia integrifolia
Lineage: Eukaryota; Viridiplantae; Streptophyta; Magnoliopsida; Proteales; Proteaceae
Exons: 3
Source: RefSeq, a predicted model, not a curated record